CACACCGCCCGUCACACCAUGGAAGUUAAUUGCACCAGAAGUCGGUAGCUUAACCGCAAGGAGAGCGCCGCCCACGGUGUGGUCAAUGACUGGGGUG
RNAcentral lists this ribosomal RNA (97 nucleotides) under uncultured bacterium. Its description in RNAcentral is "partial 16S ribosomal RNA". It matches the Rfam family "Bacterial small subunit ribosomal RNA", at positions 1386 to 1482 of the family's 1533-position model. The record is from RNAcentral.